GGUCUUGAUUGCUGUUUGAUCACUGGAGAAGCUUAGAUAUUCAAGACAAAGAAUAUUCUAACAAAUUGACGAGCCAGCCAGUCUUUAGUCAGUUUUCUACGGCGAGCCUUUACUGCACGUUUGUUUUUUACUUUUCCUCUUCCGACAAAGGGGGGAUAGUGUGCAGUUGUCUGAAGAGAUCAAAGAGAUCCUCUGACUAAAAACAAAAAAACCUAGCAGUGUGAUCAGAAGAAAGUGUAAUUCGACACUACCAGACCAUUACCAGACCACGUGGUGAGAAGGAAGAGCAUUCCAGAACCGUGCAUCGUCCUGAGAGCAGAUUGAGCAAGCAACUGAUCUACGGUUGUAUGUAAGAAUCGAAUGGACAAUGCAAAUCAUUAAAAAGUUCAUCAUGGCAAAGACAUCUGACAUUCAAGAAGAGACAAUCCUUUUUGUUUCUAGCAGUUCUGACGGUGACCAUACUGAUGAUUGACGGUUCUAAGGAAGAUCUACAGAGUCAAGAAGAUCUACAGAUUUGACAACCAAUUUAUAGCCAAUUUAACAAUACUCAAGGGUUCCCAGACAUAAUUAAGAAGAAAAGAGAAAUUGAUGAUUUCAAUGGUCAUGUGUGUUUUGGUGUAAUGAAAGGGUACUUAUCAGUUUGUAACAUUAGAAUUAACUUUACUAGACAAAGUAAUGUGAGGUUAAAUGUUAUGAUAGGGCCUAAAUAUUUAUUUAGUUGGACUAAAGGGACCUACACACAAGAUGAUAAAUUUGGGUUUUGGGAACAUAUCAUAAACAAAGUAGUUUUAUUGAGUAUAGUGAUAGAAUGUAGUAAUGAUGUGUGUAAAGGUACAUCUUGGUGGAAAAACUUUGCUAAGUCAACAGAAAUUAUGGCAAAAUCAUCUGUUGGCUCCGCUGUCACCAAUGUUUUGUUACAUCCAUUUAUUAUUGUUUUAUUUGUGUCUUUUAUAUGUAUUAUUUUUCAAAUAUGUUUAUUAUGUAGAAUAAGAAAAUCGUAUUUAACUAUUCGAGAAAAGAUAAA
Long non-coding RNA from Spea bombifrons (plains spadefoot toad), 1024 nucleotides. RefSeq lists it as uncharacterized. The record is from RefSeq and is a predicted model, not a curated record. The transcript has 2 exons. Lineage: Eukaryota; Metazoa; Chordata; Amphibia; Anura; Pelobatidae.